This 832-nucleotide ribosomal RNA is filed under the name actinobacterium 41040-1. RNAcentral's name for it is "bacterial SSU rRNA". It matches the Rfam family "Bacterial small subunit ribosomal RNA", at positions 73 to 907 of the family's 1533-position model. Lineage: Bacteria; Bacillati; Actinomycetota; Actinomycetes. The record is from RNAcentral.
GAGCCCUUCGGGGUACACGAGCGGCGAACGGGUGAGUAACACGUGAGCAACCUGCCCCUGACUCUGGGAUAAGCGGUGGAAACGCCGUCUAAUACCGGAUACGACCCGCCACCUCAUGGUGGAGGGUGGAAAGUUUUUCGGUCAGGGAUGGGCUCGCGGCCUAUCAGCUUGUUGGUGGGGUAACGGCCUACCAAGGCGAUUACGGGUAGCCGGCCUGAGAGGGCGACCGGCCACACUGGGACUGAGACACGGCCCAGACUCCUGCGGGAGGCAGCAGUGGGGAAUAUUGCGCAAUGGGCGAAAGCCUGACGCAGCGACGCCGCGUGGGGGAUGACGGCCUUCGGGUUGUAAACCUCUUUUACCACCAACGCAGGCUCGAAGUUCUCUUCGGGUUGACGGUAGGUGGGGAAUAAGGACCGGCUAACUACGUGCCAGCAGCCGCGGUAAUACGUAGGGUCCGAGCGUUGUCCGGAAUUAUUGGGCGUAAAGAGCUCGUAGGCGGCGUGUCGCGUCUGCUGUGAAAGACCGGGGCUUAACUCCGGUUCUGCAGUGGAUACGGGCAUGCUAGAGGUAGGUAGGGGAGACUGGAAUUCCUGGUGUAGCGGUGAAAUGCGCAGAUAUCAGGAGGAACACCGGUGGCGAAGGCGGGUCUCUGGGCCUUACCUGACGCUGAGGAGCGAAAGCAUGGGGAGCGAACAGGAUUAGAUACCCUGGUAGUCCAUGCCGUAAACGUUGGGCGCUAGGUGUGGGGACUUUCCACGGUUUCCGCGCCGUAGCUAACGCAUUAAGCGCCCCGCCUGGGGAGUACGGCCGCAAGGCUAAAACUCAAAGG